UCAAGACUAAUGUGAAACUACAAAAAGCUAACAACUUGAGUUUUCACAAGGUGUUGAAAAAGCAUUUAAAACUGAUUCUUACUUCAGCUAAGUCUUCCAGAAACCAGAGAGUGCUACUAAAUUCAACUGUGUAAGGGUCAUGAUGACAGAUUUUCUAUUAUUCUUUUCAGUAAGGCCUCAGUUUGUGGUGUGAAAUACUGGCUGCACACAGAGAAGAGGGCACACACUUAUCUGUGGGAGGUGAGAAGGUGGAAGAGAACUGUGUUUCUGCUGUCAGAAUGCUUUGCCUACAGGGAUGAUGGCUAGAGAAUGAAAGUACAGCAAGUUACAGAUGCAAUUACACUUCCUGUUUUCUCCAGUCCUGACAUUCCCACUGGAGCCUGUGUGCUCUGGAUCCUUUUCUAUACAAUGCAAGAUGGUCUGAAUUUGGAGCGGAAGAAACCAAAGAUAAAAUUUCCAGUUCUAUAUGAGAGUGUGGAACUCUUGAACUGGU
Long non-coding RNA from Passer domesticus (house sparrow), 493 nucleotides. RefSeq lists it as uncharacterized. The record is from RefSeq and is a predicted model, not a curated record. The transcript has 2 exons. Lineage: Eukaryota; Metazoa; Chordata; Aves; Passeriformes; Passeridae.